Molecule: long non-coding RNA, 5350 nt
Filed under: Sus scrofa (pig)
Lineage: Eukaryota; Metazoa; Chordata; Mammalia; Artiodactyla; Suidae
Description: lncRNA (ENSSSCG00015038364.1)
Source: RNAcentral
GCACCCCAGCAUAUGGAAGUUCCUGGGCCAGGAAUUGAACCCUGUGCCAUAGCUUUGGCAAUGCUGGAUCCAUAACUCAUUGACCUGAGCUGAGGAUUGAACCUGUGCUGCCACAGAGACAAGGCCAGAUCCUUAAUCUGCUGCACCACAAUAGGAAUUCCUGCCUCUAGUUUUUUUCUGAGAUCUUGGAUCAUCUUUACUAUCAUCACUCUAAAGUCUUUUUCAUGUAGGUUGCUUAUCUCGACUUCACUUAGCUGUUCUUCUGGGGUUUUGUCUUGUUCUGUCAUCUGGCUCAUAUUUCUCUGCAAUUUUUCUGUGUAGUCUUUUUGCAGGGUACAGCAUUGUAGCCUCUCUUGCUUCUGUUGUCUGCCCCCUUGUGAGUGAAGUUAGUAAAGGGGCUUGUGGCCAGCUUCCUGAUGGGAUACUGGUGCCUGCCUACUGGUGAGUGGAGCUGAGUCUUGUCCCUCUAGUGGGUGGGGCUGUAUCUCUGGGUCUGAUUUGAGGUGGCUGUGUGCCUAGGAGGACUUGAGGCAGCCUGUUGGCUGAUGAAUGAGGCUGGGUUCCCACCCUGUUGGUUGUUUGGCCUGGGGCUUUUCAGCCUUGAUGGGUGGGGCCAAAUUUUUCCAAAAUGGCAGCCUCCAGGGGCACUCAUGAUGGUGAUUAUUCCCUGAGACCUCUGCUUCCAAUGUCCUGCUCCCAUAGCCAACCACAGCUGCCCCCUGCUUUCCCAGAAGAUUCUCCAAGACCCACAGGUAGUUCCGACCCAGAUUCUUUUUUCUUUUCUUUUUAUUUUUUAAGGGAUGCAUCUGCUGCAUAUGGACUUUCCAGGCCAGGGGUUAAAUUGGAGCUUCAGCUGCCAACCUACACCUCAGCUCACAGCAACGCCAGAUCCUUAAUCUACUGAGCAAAACCAGGGAUCAAACCCACAUCCUCAUGCAUACUAGUCGGGUUCAUCACUGCUGAGUCACCAUGGGAACUCCCAUGACUCAGAUCUUUAUGGAGUCCCUGCUUUGCCUUGGUACCCAGUGCACAUGAAACACUGGGUGUACCCUCAAAGAAUAGAGUCUCUGUUUCCCCCAGCCCUUUUGGAGCUCUUGCACUCAAGCCUCACUGGCCUUCAACACCAAAUGCCCUGGGAACUCCUUCUCCCAAUGCCAGACCCCCAGACUGGGGAAUCUGACAUGGGGUUUAGAACUGUCACUCCUGUGUGAGAGCCUCUGCAAUAUAGUUAUUUUCCACUUAGUGGGUAUGGGAUUGCUUAUAUCAUGGAAGUGCCCCUCCUACCAUUUUGAUGUGGCUCCUUCUUUGUCUUUGAGUAUGGAAUAUCUAUUCUGGUAUUUUCUGGGCUAUUUUGUGGAUGGUUGUUCAGCAGUUAGUUGUAAUUCCAGUGUUUUCAUGAGAGGAGGUAAGCUCAUGUCCUUCUCCUCUGCCAUCUUAUCUGGUAUCUGUUUAAAGUUUUGUUUGUUUGUUUGUUUGUCUUUUUAGAACCUCACCUGUGGCAUAUGGAGGUUCCCAGGCUAGGGGUCCAAUCGGAGCUGUAGUUGCCAGCCUACACCAGAGCCACAGCAUUGUGAGAUCCAAGCCAUGCCUGUGACCUACACACAGCUCAGGGCAAUGCCAGAUCCUUAACCCACUGAGUGAGGCCAGGGAUCGAACCUGCAUCCUCAUGGUUCCCAGUCAGAUUAAUUUCCGUUGCACCACGACAAGAACUCCUGUGUAAUGUUUUUGACAUCCUAUUUUAAAUGUUUUUGUUUUGGGUUUUCCCUAACUACUUAUUGUGGAUAUAGAUGAAUUAACUACUACUGUUUUUAACCUUCCUUCUAGCUUUGUAAGUGGUUGGCCUACUUCCUUUUCUCUAUGUUUACCUUUACCUGUGAGAGCUUUCCUCUCAUAACUUUCAUAUUCUAGUUGUGGUCUUUCUCCUAGGAGAAGUUACUUCAACAUUUCUUGUAAAGUUGGCUUCAUGGUGCGGAAAUCUGUUAGCUUUUGCUUGUCUAUAAAACUCGUAACACUGCUUCAAAUAUGAAUGAUUACCUCGCUGAGUAGAGUAUUGGUGGUUGUCAACUUUUUCCUUUCAUCCUCUUAAGUGUGUCAGGCCACUCCCUUCUGGCCUGCAAAAUUUUCUGCUGAAAAGUCACCUGAUAGCAUUACAGAAGUUCCCUUGUAUGUAAGUAGUUACUUUUACCUUUUUUUUUUUUUUUGCACACCCCCUGCUCCACCAGCGUAUGAAAUUCCCAGGCCAGCGAUCAGAUGUGAGCUGCAGUUGCAACCUACAGCACAGCUGUGGUAAUGCUGAAUCCUUAACCCUGUCUCCUGCACUGAGGAUCAAACCUGCUUCCUGGUGCUCCAGAGAUGGUGCUGUUCCCUUUAUGUUGUGCCACAGUGGGAACUCCUACCAUUCAUGAGAUCUUCUUUUUAUCUUUAAUUUUUGCUGUUUUAAUUGGAAUGUGCCUUGAUGUGGACCUCUUUGGUCUUUGAUGGGACUCUGUACUUCCUGAGCCUGGAUGUCUGUUUGCUUCUCCAGAUGGUGGAAGUUUUCAGCUAUUAUUUCUUGAAAUAAAUUCUCUGCCCUGAUCUCUCUCUUGUCUCCUGGGACUCCUUUAAUGGGAAUAUUGGGCGUCUCUUAAACUAUCUUCGUUUAAAAAGUUUUUACUUUCUUUUUUGUUCAGCUUGGAUGAUUAUUUCCACCACUGCCUUCUAGACGGCUGACUUAUUCCUCUGUAUCAUCUAAUCUAUUGAUUCCUUCUAGUGUCUUUCUUAUUUCAGUUACUAUAUUCUUCGGUUCUGUUUUUCUUUUAUUCUAACUUGUUGAAAUCUUACGGCCUUCAUCCCUUCUUCAAGUUCAGGAAGCAUCUUUAUGAUCAUUACAUUCAGUGCUUAACCAGAUUAUUUAUCUCCAUUACAUUUAGUUCUUUUUCUGAGGCUAAGGCUUAUUCUUCAUUUGGAACAUUUUCUCUUCCAUUUUGCCCAAUUCCCUCUGUUUAUUUCUAUGUAUUAGGUAGGUCAGUUACCUUUCCAAUCUUGGAGAAGUGGACCUAUGUAGGAAAUGUUCUAUGGGGCCCAGCAGCAGGCUCCCCUCUGAGGCAUAUGUUCUAGGGUGCCCCCUAUAUGUGCUGCCUAAGCCCUCUCGGUAGCAGUGGGACUGACUACUAUGGGUGUGCUGGUAAGCAGGGCUGGUCCCUGGCCUAGUUGGCUUCAAGGCUGUGCCCUGUGUGGUGGCUGUGACCCACCAGAUAGUGAAGUAGAUUUCCACUGUGAUGGGUUGUGCAGCCUGAGGUGAGACCUGAGGCGGCUGCUGGUCUAUUGGUGGGCAGAGCGUGGUCCUCAACAUUAAUAGGUAGAGGGAGGAUUCCAGAAUGGUGCUUGCCAAUGCGGGUGUUAUCACAGUAGAAUGAGGUCCACAAGUGGCUGCUGCUAGCAUCUCCAUCCCCAGGAGGUGGGGGGGGGGUCCCCAGUUGCAUUCUGUGCAUUCAGGAUCAGCAAGUGGGUCUGACCCAGGCUCCUUUGAAAUGACUGCCUCUGUGCUGGGACUCAGUGUGAGAUUUUGUGCUUGCCCUUCAAGAGUGAAGUCUGUUUCCUAUAGUCCUCUUGAUCUCCUGAACCUAAGCCUGCUUGUUUUCUUUUCUUUAAAAUUUUUUAGGAGUUCCUGUCGUGGCACAGUGGUUAAUGAAUCCGACUAGGAACCAUGAGGUUGUGGAUUCAAUCCCUGGCCUUGCUCAGUGGGUUAAAGAUCCAGCGUUGCCGUGAGCUGUGGUGUAGGACACAGACGCGGCUCGGAUCCCAUGUUGCUGUGGCUCUGGCUUAGGCUGGUGACUACAGCUCCAAUUAGACCCCUGGCCUGGGAACCUCCAUAUCCCGCAGGAGCGGCCCUAGAAAAGACAAAAAGACGAAAUAAAUAAAAUAAAAUAAAAUAAAAUAUUUUAUUAUAGGAGUUCCCAUCUUGGCUCAGUGCUAACGAUCCCAACUGGUAUCCAUGAGGACGCGGGUUCGAUCCAUGGCCUUGCUCAGUGGGUUAGAGAUCUGGCGUUGCUGGGAGCUGUGGUAGAAGUCACAGAUGUGGCUUGGAUCCCACAUGGCUGUGGCUGUGGCGUAGGCUGGCUUCCAACUUGACCCAUAGCCUGGGAACGUCCAUAUGCUCUGGGUGUGGCCCUAAAAAGAGGCAAUAAUAAUAAUAAAUAAAAUUAUUAUAUUUGAUGUGCAGCGUUCUGUCAUCCUGCUUGUUUUCACAGUCAGGUGUUCGAGGGGUUGUCUUCCCAGGGCAGACCUUCUGGGAGUGGGGAGCCUUAUGUGGGGGUUGGAGCUCCUCCUCCUUGGGGAGGGCCUCCAGGAUUGUGAUCCCCUUUCCGUUUGUGGGUCGCCGAGCUGGGAGUGGGGGUCCUGACUGUAUCGUGUGUCUGCCCCUCCUGCCCUCCUUGCUGAGGAUCCUCCUUCAUCUGGAGUUGAGGAAAAUCUUUUCUGCUGGUCUUCAGGCCGUUGUCAUAGAUAGUUGCUCUGGAAGCAGUUGUAAUGUUGGCCUACCCACGGCAAGAGGAGAAUUCAGGGUCUCCCUUCUCCCCCAUCUUGGCCACCUCUCUCCCAUACACUUGAAAUCAUCUCUGCUUAUAAUACCUAAUACAAGGUAAAUGCCGUGGAAAUCCUUGUAAAUAUAAGUGCUGUAUAAACAGCUGCUCGUAUGUGGCUAAUUCAACUUUUGCUUUUUGGAACUUUCUGUAAUUUUCCCCCAAAUAUAUUUGAUCCGCAAUUGAUUAAAAUCUGCAGAUGCAGAACCUAAAGACACAGAGGGCUGUGUGUGUGUGUGUGUGUGUGUGUGUGUGUGUGUGUGUGUGUGUGUGUACAUGCAUGUGCAGGGAUCUAUUUCUGCACUCUUUAUUCCGUUCCAUUGAUCUACGUCUGAUCUUUGUCCCUAUACUUCACUGGCUUGAUUAUUUUAGCUUUAUAUAUAAAUUUUGAAUUCAGUAGUAUAGGUCUCCAACUUUGUUCUUUUUCAAAAUUGUUUUGGCUUUUCCAGUUACUUUUGUUUUUCCCUCUCAGUUUUAAAAUCAGCUGGUCAGUUUCUACAGUGCAGCCUUGGCGAAUAUCAAUUAAGAGUUCUUUGAUUCUGAGAGUUCUGGCUCAGCAGAAAUGAAUCUGAUUAGCAUCCAUGAAGAUGCAGGUUCGAUCCCUGGCCUUGCUCAGUGUGUUAAGGGUCCGGUGUUGUUGUGAGCUACCGUGUAGGUCGCAGGAGCAGCUUGGAUCCUGAGUUGCUGUAGCUGUGGUUUAGGCUGGCAGCUCCAGCUCCAAUUGAACCCCUAGCCUGGGAACCUCCACAUGCCAUGGGUGCAGCCCUAAAAAAGACCAAAAAAAAAAAAAA